UACGUAGGGUGCAAGCGUUUGUCCGGAAUUAUUGGGCGUAAAGAGCUCGUAGGCGGUCUGUCGCGUCGGCUGUGAAAACCCGGGGCUCAACCCCGGGCCUGCAGUCGAUACGGGCAGACUAGAGUGCGGUAGGGGAGACUGGAAUUCCUGGUGUAGCGGUGAAAUGCGCAGAUAUCAGGAGGAACACCGGUGGCGAAGGCGGGUCUCUGGGCAGUAACUGACGCUGAGGAGCGAAAGCGUGGGGAGCGAACAGGA
Molecule: ribosomal RNA, 255 nt
Filed under: uncultured bacterium
Lineage: Bacteria
Description: partial 16S ribosomal RNA
Rfam family: Bacterial small subunit ribosomal RNA
Source: RNAcentral